GGACUAUUUACUCUAAGCGGAGGCCUGGUGCGUGUGGGUCAGGUGCCAAGAAGUGAGUGAGCUGGCCAUCGGAAUGCUGCCCCCUGGAAUGACUCCAGCCCUCGCUGCACAAGUGCUAGAUGUUUGUUCCUGGGGGUCCUUUGACUGCACAAAGGAGAAGCUCCUCUGGGUGGUGGCAACCACCUCAGCCUCAUGGGUGGUGAUGUCUUUGAAUAGAAUUUGGAGGAAGAUGGUGCUGGGAAGACCGGGGCAGUCUGAGCUGCGCAGAUCAUCAAUGCCGUAUCAUCUGCUAAUGGUUGCAGAAAAAAGGUCAUGGAACUGUAACCUUACAAAAUAGCCUGAAUUACCAAGAAGACCACGCCUUGGGCGCUUAUGAGAUAAAGAGAUGGAAAAAGUGAUAACCGCUGGCCUCUAUAGAACCUGUCGUCAAGAUGCCACUCUAAGUCUUAGGACAAGAAAAUGAUCCUGUUGAUUGUUAUCCAUGUUUUACUGUUUGAGCUAUGGCUGUAUAACCACUGCGGGGACCCCAUCCCCACAGUGGGUCCACAGUUUUGAAGGCACUAGCCUGUUGUGAGUCCCCUUUGCUCAGCCAAGUAAUAAAGCUGCCUCUUUCCUUCU
This is a non-coding RNA of Vicugna pacos (alpaca), 618 nucleotides long. The record is from RefSeq and is a predicted model, not a curated record. NCBI's taxonomy places the organism in Eukaryota, Metazoa, Chordata, Mammalia, Artiodactyla, Camelidae.